AACUGCGGAAGUCAACUCUCAAACACUGUCUUCUUCUGUGGGCGAGUCAUCCAAAAACGGUGCCAGCUGGGAAACGACCUACGACGAUGACAGCAAGUAAAGAGCAUUUGCCUGGCGCCUGGCGACUGUCGACCGAUUUUCCUUUUCGCCAAUGUGUUUCAUUAUUUUUCUACAAAUAUAUUUACUUAUUUAAGUUCAA
Long non-coding RNA from Drosophila navojoa, 199 nucleotides. The record is from RefSeq and is a predicted model, not a curated record. Lineage: Eukaryota; Metazoa; Arthropoda; Insecta; Diptera; Drosophilidae.